CGGCUAAACUCUUGUGCCAGCAGCCNCCGGUAAUACAAAAGGUCUCAAGCGUUGUUCGGAUUCAUUGGGCGUAAAGGGUGCGUAGGCGGCGGGGCAAGUCGNAUGUGAAAUCUCAGGGCUCAACCCUGAAACUGCAUUCGAUACUGCCUUGCUCGAGGACUGGAGAGGAGAUUGGAAUUCACGGUGUAGCAGUGAAAUGCGUAGAUAUCGUGAGGAAGACCAGUGGCGAAGGCGGAUCUCUGGACAGUUCCUGACGCUGAGGCACGAAGGCCAGGGGAGCAAACGGGAUUAGAUACCCCGGUAGUCCUGGCAGUAAACGGUGCACGUUUGGUGUGGGAGGAUUCGACCCCUUCCGUGCCGGAGCUAACGCGUUAAACGUGCCGCCUGGGGAGUACGGUCGCAAGAUUAAAACUCAAAGAAAUUGACGGGGGCCCGCACAAGCGGUGGAGUAUGUGGCUUAAUUCGAUGCAACGCGAAGAACCUUACCAGGCCUUGACAUGCAUCUAUAAGUCGGUGAAAGCCGGCGACUCUCGCAAGAGAGAAUUUGCACAGGUGCUGCAUGGCUGUCGUCANC
This 574-nucleotide ribosomal RNA is filed under the name uncultured Verrucomicrobiota bacterium. RNAcentral's name for it is "bacterial SSU rRNA". It matches the Rfam family "Bacterial small subunit ribosomal RNA", at positions 494 to 1059 of the family's 1533-position model. The record is from RNAcentral. Lineage: Bacteria; Pseudomonadati; Verrucomicrobiota.